This 114-nucleotide ribosomal RNA is filed under the name Salvator merianae (Argentine black and white tegu). Lineage: Eukaryota; Metazoa; Chordata; Lepidosauria; Squamata; Teiidae. The record is from RNAcentral.
CUCAGCAUUUAAAUUGCACUUUGCUAAUCUUGUUUGAUCUCAGGACCUAAGCAGGCUUGAUGCUGAUUAGGACUUGGGUGGGAGACCACCCGGCAACACUGGGUGCUGCAGGGC